This 428-nucleotide ribosomal RNA is filed under the name uncultured prokaryote. RNAcentral's name for it is "bacterial SSU rRNA". It matches the Rfam family "Bacterial small subunit ribosomal RNA", at positions 355 to 774 of the family's 1533-position model. The record is from RNAcentral.
UGGGGAAUAUUGCGCAAUGGGCGAAAGCCUGACGCAGCGACGCCGCGUGAGGGAAGAAGGCCUUCGGGUCGUAAACCUCUGUCUAGAGGGAAGAAACCAUUGAGGUCGAACAGGCCUCUUUGCUGCCGGUACCUCUGAAGGAAGCACCGGCUAACUCCGUGCCAGCAGCCGCGGUACUACGGAGGGUGCGAGCGUUAAUCGGAAUCAAUGGGCGUAACGCGCACGUAGGCGGUGUCGUAAGUCGGAUGUGAAAGCCCUCGGCUCAACCGGGGAACUGCAGUCGAUACUGCGAUGCUUGAGUGCGGGAGAGGGUGGCGGAAUUCCAGGUGUAGGAGUGAAAUCCGUAGAUAUCUGGAGGAACACCAGUGGCGAAGGCGGCCACCUGGCCGGCAACUGACGCUGAGGUGCGAAAGCGUGGGGAUCAAACA